Molecule: ribosomal RNA, 271 nt
Filed under: uncultured prokaryote
Description: partial 16S ribosomal RNA
Rfam family: Bacterial small subunit ribosomal RNA
Source: RNAcentral
UACGGAGGAUCCGAGCGUUAUCCGGAUUUAUUGGGUUUAAAGGGUGCGCAGGCGGGGGAUUAAGUCGGCGGUGAAAUUUUGCAGCUCAACUGUAAAAGUGCCUUCGAAACUGGUUUACUUGAGUGUAGAUGAAGUAGGCGGAAUUUGUGGUGUAGCGGUGAAAUGCAUAGAUAUCACGAGGAACUCCGAUUGCGCAGGCAGCUUACUAAACUACUACUGACGCUCAGGCACGAAGGCGUGGGGAUCAAACAGGAUUAGAUACCCUGGUAGU